Molecule: non-coding RNA, 83 nt
Organism: Albula goreensis
Lineage: Eukaryota; Metazoa; Chordata; Actinopteri; Albuliformes; Albulidae
Source: the annotation of a GenBank genome assembly
GAUGAGGUGACCGAGCGGUUAAGGUGACGGACUGCUAAAUCCGUUGUGCUUUGCACGCAUCGGUUUGCAUCCCAUCCUUGCCG